AAUAAGCGGAGGAAAAGAAACUAACAAGGAUUCCCCUAGUAACGGCGAGUGAAGCGGGAUGAGCUCAAAUUUGUAAUCUGGCGGCCUCUGGUCGUCCGAGUUGUAGUCUGGAGAAGCGUCUUCCGCGUCGGACCGUGUACAAGUCCCUUGGAACAGGGCGUCGUAGAGGGUGAGAAUCCCGUCUUUGACACGGACUGCCGAUGCUUUGUGAUGCGCUCUCGAAGAGUCGAGUUGUUUGGGAAUGCAGCUCAAAACGGGUGGUAAAUUCCAUCUAAAGCUAAAUAUGGGCGAAAGACCGAUAGCGAACAAGUACCGUGAGGGAAAGAUGAAAAGCACUUUGGAAAGAGAGUUAAACAGUACGUGAAAUUGUUGAAAGGGAAACGCUUGAAGUCAGUCGCGUCUCCUGGGACUCAGCCUUGCUUCUGCUUGGUGUACUUCCUGGGACGACGGGCCAGCAUCGAUUUUGACCGUCGGAGAAAGGCCUUGGGAACGUGGCACCUUUGGGUGUGUUAUAGCCCUCGGUCGUAUGCGACGGUUGGGAUCGAGGACCGCAGCACGCCUUUUUGGCCGGGGUUCGCCCACGUACGUGCUUAGGAUGCUGGCGUAAUGGCUUUAAGCGACCCGUCUUGAAACACGGACCAAGGAGUCUAACAUGCCUGCGAGUGUUUGGGUGGUAAACCCGGACGCGAAAUGAAAGUGAAAAGUUGGGACCUCUGUCGUGGAGGGCACCGACGCCCGGACCAGACCUUCUGUGACGGUUCCGAGGUAGAGCAUGCAUGCUGGGACCCGAAAGAUGGUGAACUAUGCUUGAGUAGGGUGAAGCCAGAGGAAACUCUGGUGGAGGCUCGUAGCGAUUCUGACGUGCAAAUCGAUCGUCGAACUUGAGUAUAGGGGCGAAAGACUAAUCGAACCAUCUAGUAGCU
This 923-nucleotide ribosomal RNA is filed under the name Gautieria convoluta. RNAcentral's name for it is "partial large subunit ribosomal RNA". It matches the Rfam family "Eukaryotic large subunit ribosomal RNA", at positions 45 to 952 of the family's 3401-position model. Lineage: Eukaryota; Fungi; Basidiomycota; Agaricomycetes; Gomphales; Gomphaceae. The record is from RNAcentral.